AAAGUGAUAUAUUCUUUGCAGAAUAUACAUCGUACACCCUACUGAGUAUCACACCUGUUGCUUCCGUGGGGCUGUGACAAACCUGGUCACGCUCUGGAUGAAAACUGUCAUCCAGUUGAUGUCUCCACGGGAGGUAUACCAUUAACACUUCUGUUUCAUCAUGCCCUUCUGUCUGUAUGCAAUACAAUGAAUGUCA
Molecule: unclassified non-coding RNA, 196 nt
Filed under: uncultured fungus
Lineage: Eukaryota; Fungi
Description: sequence contains ITS1
Source: RNAcentral